This 502-nucleotide ribosomal RNA is filed under the name uncultured bacterium. RNAcentral describes it as "bacterial SSU rRNA". It matches the Rfam family "Bacterial small subunit ribosomal RNA", at positions 28 to 507 of the family's 1533-position model. The record is from RNAcentral.
AAUGAACGCUGGCGGCGUGCUUUAUACAUGCAAGUCGAGCGAGAAAGUCCCCUUCGGGGGAUGAGUAAAGCGGCGAACGGGUGAGUAACACGUGGGCAACCUACCUCGGAGCGGGGGAUAACUUGGGGAAACUCGAGCUAAUACCGCAUACGCCUCGAGGGCUUCGGCCCGAGAGGGAAAGCUGGCCUCUACGCGUAAGCUGGCACUCCGGGAUGGGCCCGCGUCCGAUUAGCUAGAUGGUGGGGUAACGGCCUACCAUGGCGACGAUCGGUAGCCGGCCUGAGAGGGCGAUCGGCCACACUGGGACUGAGACACGGCCCAGACUCCUACGGGAGGCAGCAGUAGGGAAUAUUGGACAAUGGGGGCAACCCUGAUCCAGCAACGCCGCGUGGAGGAAGAAGGCCUUCGGGUCGUAAACUCCUGUCAGUUGGGACGAAAAGCUGUCGGUCAAUAGCCGGCGGUCCUGACGGUACCAGCAGAGGAAGCCCCGGCUAACUCCGUG